MicroRNA precursor from Cebus imitator (Panamanian white-faced capuchin), 94 nucleotides. The record is from Ensembl. NCBI's taxonomy places the organism in Eukaryota, Metazoa, Chordata, Mammalia, Primates, Cebidae.
AUCACAGACACCUCCAAGUGUGCAGGGCACUGAUGGGGGCCAGGGCAGGCUCAGUGGAAGUGCAGAACCUGCCACUCAGUUGGAGGUGAGGGUG